Molecule: long non-coding RNA, 391 nt
Organism: Solanum tuberosum (potato)
Lineage: Eukaryota; Viridiplantae; Streptophyta; Magnoliopsida; Solanales; Solanaceae
Exons: 2
Source: RefSeq, a predicted model, not a curated record
UCCAGAAAUGGGUGAUCAAGGGGCUGCUAGUGUUAAUUGUUGUGGCUGAUUUGCGAUGUUUUAGGCAUCUGUUUGUGCUAAAUUUUGGGGUAUUAGUUUAGUAAGGUAUUUGGGACGUUUCCACGGAGUCGAUUUUGAGAUUCUAAUUGUGGGCCCCACAAUCCCGUUUUAGACCCGAUUUUGGGUCCGUCUCCGAAAAAUAUAAUUUUAGUGUCAAUAUAUUCGUAAUGACGAGGUGAUUAACCUUUUGUUAGUGGGGAAGCAUUUGGAGACCGUUCGGAGAGGAAAAGAUCUGGUACCGUGAGUUGGAGCACGCGUGAUCGGCUUUCAGGUCCGAGCACUAGUAGCCAGCGUUGAUCGAGCUUGGAGUAGACUUAUCCGGAGACGGGGU